AGUAACGCGUGGGUAACCUGCCCUUAAGUCUGGGAUACCAUUUGGAAACAGAUGCUAAUACCGGAUAAAAGCUACUUUCGCAUGAAAGAAGUUUAAAAGGCGGCGUAAGCUGUCGCUAAAGGAUGGACCUGCGAUGCAUUAGCUAGUUGGUAAGGUAACGGCUUACCAAGGCGAUGAUGCAUAGCCGAGUUGAGAGACUGAUCGGCCACAUUGGGACUGAGACACGGCCCAAACUCCUACGGGAGGCAGCAGAC
Molecule: ribosomal RNA, 254 nt
Filed under: uncultured Lactobacillus sp.
Lineage: Bacteria; Bacillati; Bacillota; Bacilli; Lactobacillales; Lactobacillaceae
Description: partial 16S ribosomal RNA
Rfam family: Bacterial small subunit ribosomal RNA
Source: RNAcentral